This 253-nucleotide ribosomal RNA is filed under the name uncultured bacterium. RNAcentral's name for it is "partial 16S ribosomal RNA". It matches the Rfam family "Bacterial small subunit ribosomal RNA", at positions 524 to 776 of the family's 1533-position model. The record is from RNAcentral.
UACGUAGGGUGCAAGCGUUGUCCGGAAUUAUUGGGCGUAAAGAGCUCGUAGGCGGUUUGUCGCGUCUGCUGUGAAAACUCGGGGCUUAACCCCGGGCCUGCAGUGGGUACGGGCAGACUAGAGUGCGGUAGGGGAGACUGGAAUUCCUGGUGUAGCGGUGAAAUGCGUAGAGAUCAGGAAGAACACCGAUGGCGAAGGCAGGUCUCUGGGCCACUACUGACGCUGAGAAGCGAAAGCAUGGGGAGCGAACAGG